UUUUAUUUAUGAUUUUUUGUUUUACUAUUAGUCUGUUUCUGUUAUCUGUAAAAAAGAAGUAAAUAUAUGCCUUUUAUCUUGUUAACUAGGUUAAGACCCGCGCCUUGCGCGGGAUGAACAUUAUAUAUAUAAAUUAAUUUAUAUAUUAUAUGUUUAUAACAUAUUAUGAAAUAAUAAAUAUAUAUUGAAUAAUUAAAAUGUCAUUAUGUACUACUUAUAUAAUUAAAUUGGUAUGAACAUAUAAAUAAAUCUUAUAAAUCGAAAAAAUAUUUUUUCUAUUUGAUAUGAUAUAUAAUUAAAUUUAAAUGAUAGUAACAUAUAUAUGAUAUAUUUUAAUAUUAAUAUUU
RNAcentral lists this long non-coding RNA (347 nucleotides) under Brassica rapa (field mustard). RNAcentral's name for it is "long non-coding RNA (BRAP_LNC001814)". The record is from RNAcentral. Lineage: Eukaryota; Viridiplantae; Streptophyta; Magnoliopsida; Brassicales; Brassicaceae.